This 553-nucleotide ribosomal RNA is filed under the name uncultured archaeon. RNAcentral's name for it is "bacterial SSU rRNA". It matches the Rfam family "Archaeal small subunit ribosomal RNA", at positions 326 to 879 of the family's 1478-position model. The record is from RNAcentral.
CGGGGUGCAGCAGGCGCGAAAACUUUACAAUGCCGGCAACGGCGAUAAGGGGACCUCGAGUGCCAGGUUACAAAUCUGGCUGUCGAGAUGCCUAAAAAGCAUUUCAUAGCAAGGGCCGGGCAAGACCGGUGCCAGCCGCCGCGGUAACACCGGCGGCUCGAGUGGUAACCGUUAUUAUUGGGUCUAAAGGGUCUGUAGCCGGCCGGAUAAGUCUCUUGGGAAAUCCAGCAGCUCAACUGUUGGGCUUUCAGGAGAUACUGUCUGGCUCGAGGCCGGGAGAGGUGAGAGGUACUUCAGGGGUAGGGGUGAAAUCUUGUAAUCCUUGAAGGACCACCAGUGGCGAAGGCGUCUCACCAGAACGGACCUGACGGCAAGGGACGAAAGCUAGGGGCACGAACCGGAUUAGAUACCCGGGUAGUCCUAGCCGUAAACAAUACUCGCUAGGUGUCGGCCACGGUGCGACCGUUGUCGGUGCCGUAGGGAAGCCGUGAAGCGAGCCACCUGGGAAGUACGGCCGCAAGGCUGAAACUUAAAGGAAUUGGCGGGGGAGCAC